Molecule: ribosomal RNA, 39 nt
Filed under: Clarireedia homoeocarpa
Lineage: Eukaryota; Fungi; Ascomycota; Leotiomycetes; Helotiales; Rutstroemiaceae
Description: partial 18S ribosomal RNA
Source: RNAcentral
GUAACAAGUUCCGUAGGUGAACCUGCGGAAGGAUCAUUA